Molecule: ribosomal RNA, 576 nt
Filed under: Modiolula phaseolina
Lineage: Eukaryota; Metazoa; Mollusca; Bivalvia; Mytilida; Modiolidae
Description: partial 12S ribosomal RNA
Source: RNAcentral
UCGCGGUUACACCCCUGCUUUUUUGAAUUCCUACGGUUUUGUUAGAGUGCAAAAUAAAAUAGCUCUUUGCAGGCUUUUUGAGUGGUUAAAUGCUAAGAAAGGUGUUGGAGUGAAUAGGGGCUAUGAUGUUUCUUACUUGGGUACGGUCAAAAACCGGGAUUUGAUACUCCGUUAUUCGUGAGGUAAAAAUGAAUUACCAGGUGACUAAAAGUUGAUUCUUAAAAGUUAAAUGAAUAGGCGGUCUUUAAUAAACAAACAGGGGAAUCUGGGGGUUAAAAGAUGGUCCACUUAAAUUGAUCCUUAGCUUAAAUUAUGCGUGUGUAUGGUUGUUCAUUUGAUCGAUAUAUGUAAAGUAUUGGUGCAGCUCUUUUGAUAAGGAAAAAUUCAGAUUGACAUGUAGCUAUGCUAAGGCUACUCUGGGUGACAAUUGAAAUUUCCAGGUCGGAAGUUCAUAAGAAAUUUUGAGCUUGAAGGUGUACUUGUAAGUAAGGGUUUCUUAUGUUGUGAUCCUGAAAUGAUAAGUAGAGGAGUACUAAUCGCCCGUCGCUCGCGGAGGUAUUCUGAGAUAAGUCGUAC